RNAcentral lists this transfer RNA (77 nucleotides) under Tissierella sp. Its description in RNAcentral is "tRNA-Arg". It matches the Rfam family "tRNA". From Rfam's summary of the family: Transfer RNA (tRNA) molecules are approximately 80 nucleotides in length. Their secondary structure includes four short double-helical elements and three loops (D, anti-codon, and T loops). Lineage: Bacteria; Bacillati; Bacillota; Tissierellia; Tissierellales; Tissierellaceae. The record is from RNAcentral. RNAcentral also lists the same sequence under 10 other names.
GUACCCUUAGCUCAGCUGGAUAGAGUGUCUGGCUACGAACCAGAAGGUCGGGGGUUCGACUCCCUCAGGGUACGCCA